ACUUCUGCAGAGACACACACGGUGCAGGCCGCUGGCGGCUCCCUCUCAACAGGACUUGGGCUGAAGCCAAAAGGACAUUCACAUGUAAAUGAAUGCUGAUGAAUGGAAAUGAGAUGCUAUACAUGAUGGGCAACCUGCAACAUUCAGGUUAAAAAAGGCAAAGUUACCUCCCUCACUGAAGCUUGAAUCUCUUCCUUUCUACACUUGGGCACCAACAGAAAUGAAAGACAGUGACUGACCUUCUACCAGUUUCUAUUGGCUAAACACCACCCUCCAGAGACACUCGAGAUGGACAACACACGUUCUUUUGGUCUCAUGUUGCAUCUUGCUAUUACACAGCUACUUCUUUAAAUGAGUAUUUGAUUUGAAACUGAAAUUAUAAAUACUGGAAAUCUGACAGCUGCACUGAGCCAAAGGAUUAAAAUGCCCAAAAGAGUGUGAUUACUU
This 447-nucleotide long non-coding RNA is filed under the name Bos taurus (domestic cattle). RNAcentral describes it as "long non-coding RNA NONBTAT024160". The record is from RNAcentral. Lineage: Eukaryota; Metazoa; Chordata; Mammalia; Artiodactyla; Bovidae.